This 274-nucleotide ribosomal RNA is filed under the name uncultured bacterium. Its description in RNAcentral is "partial 16S ribosomal RNA". It matches the Rfam family "Bacterial small subunit ribosomal RNA", at positions 523 to 796 of the family's 1533-position model. The record is from RNAcentral.
AUACGGAGGGUGCAAGCGUUACGCGGAAUCACUGGGCGUAAAGCGCGCGCAGGCGGCUAUUUAGGUUGGAUGUGAAAGCCUACGGCUCAACCGUAGAACUGCAUCCAAAACUAUUUAGCUAGAGUGUGGGAGAGGAAGAUGGAAUUAGUUGUGUAGGGGUAAAAUCCGUAGAGAUAACUAGGAAUACCAAAAGCGAAGGCAAUCUUCUGGAACACUACUGACGCUGAGGCGCGAAAGCGUGGGGAGCAAACGGGAUUAGAAACCCCGGUAGUCC